CCUACGGGAGGCAGCAGUGGGGAAUAUUGCACAAUGGGGGAAACUCUGAUGCAGCGACGCCGCGUGAGUGAAGAAGUAUUUCGGUAUGUAAAGCUCUAUCUGCAGGGAAGAAAAUGACGGUACCUGAUUAAGAAGCCCCGGCUAACUACGUGCCAGCAGCCGCGGUAAUACGUAGGUGGCAAGCGUUAUCCGGAUUUACUGGGUGUAAAGGGAGCGUAGACGGCAGCACAAGUCUGGAGUGAAAUGCCGGGGCUUAACCCCGGAACUGCGUUGGAAACUGUGCAGCUAGAGUGCAGUAGAGGUAAGUGGAAUUCCUGGUGGAGCGGUGAAAUGCGUAGAUAUUAGGAGGAACACCAGUGGCGAAGGCAGCUUACUGGACUGUAACUGACGUUGAGGCUCGAAAGCGUGGGGAGCAAACAGGAUUAGAUACCCUAGUAGUC
Molecule: ribosomal RNA, 440 nt
Filed under: uncultured bacterium
Lineage: Bacteria
Description: partial 16S ribosomal RNA
Rfam family: Bacterial small subunit ribosomal RNA
Source: RNAcentral